Molecule: ribosomal RNA, 254 nt
Filed under: uncultured bacterium
Lineage: Bacteria
Description: partial 16S ribosomal RNA
Rfam family: Bacterial small subunit ribosomal RNA
Source: RNAcentral
UACGAAGGGGGGCUAGCGUUGUUCGGAAUUACUGGGCGUAAAGCGCACGUAGGCGGGCGAUUAAGUCAGGGGUGAAAUCCCGGAGCUCAACUCCGGAACUGCCUUUGAUACUGGUCGUCUAGAGAUCGGAAGAGGUGAGUGGAAUUCCCAGUGUAGAGGUGAAAUUCGUAGAUAUUGGGAAGAACACCAGUGGCGAAGGCGGCUCACUGGUCCGAUACUGACGCUGAGGUGCGAAAGCGUGGGGAGCAAACAGG